UGAGGAAUAUUGGUCAAUGGGCGGGAGCCUGAACCAGCCAAGCCGCGUGAGGGAGGAAGGCCCUAUGGGUCGUAAACCUCUUUUGUCAGGGAACAAAAGCGAGUAUAUAUACUAGUCUGAGUGUACCUGAAGAAAAAGGCAUCGGCUAACUCCGUGCCAGCAGCCGCGGUAAUACGGAGGAUGCGAGCGUUAUCCGGAUUUAUUGGGUUUAAAGGGUGCGUAGGCGGCGGUGCAAGUCAGCGGUAAAAGCCCGGGGCUCAACCCCGGCGAGCCGUUGAAACUGCAGUGCUAGAGAAGGCGAGAGGUACGCGGAAUGCGCAGUGUAGCGGUGAAAUGCUUAGAUAUUGCGCAGAACUCCGAUUGCGAAGGCAGCGUACUGGCGCCUGACUGACGCUGAGGCACGGAAGCGUGGGGAUCGAACAGGAUUAGAUACC
RNAcentral lists this ribosomal RNA (434 nucleotides) under uncultured bacterium. RNAcentral's name for it is "bacterial SSU rRNA". It matches the Rfam family "Bacterial small subunit ribosomal RNA", at positions 355 to 786 of the family's 1533-position model. The record is from RNAcentral.